AAAACUUAAAUGUAACAACCUCGUCAGCAUCUUUAUCUGUGUAAGAGGAAGAUUUGCUUAACAAACUGACAAAGGUAACAAAGACAAAACAAAAAACAAGGACAAUACACAGACCACACAAGGACCGCACAAGGACCACCCAAGACCAGCACAGAGUAAAAAAGUAUACAAAAAAAUUAAAAAAACUCCAACAACAAUUCAAUGCACAUGCCAACAAGAAGAAAAACGAGUGAGAAUGGAUCCACUUACAUAUGGGUUAACAAACUCCAGAUUCACUAAGCACCACCAUCUUUGCACUUUCUAGCCUUAAAGUCCAACGCCAAACAGUGAUUUCUUCUCCAAAUUCUCCCAAAAUUCAAACCUCACCUCAAAUUUUGAUAAGCCCUAGCCUUCUUCUCCAAAUUUCCCCUUCUCACCCAAAUACCGCCUUCCCCUUUUCUGAAACUAAAAAACCCUUAUUCUCUAAUGUUAAGUGAUUGAAAAAGAAGUGGGGCCUAAACCAAGUAAUGAAACGUCUCUUAAUGCUGACGGAAUGAGUAACGUGAGACAGUUUUAAAAAGUGUAUGGGCUAUUUUGAGACGUUUCAAAUAAUAGGGGGUAAUUUGAGACAAGUUUGAAAGCACAAGGGACAUGUACAUAAAUAAGCCUUGUUUAAAUUGUAGAAAUUUUUUUUUCUUUGAGCUUUUAACCUUUUAAAUACUACACCUCCCUUGAAAAAUUUCUAAGUCUGCUAGAGAAUAUCGAGUCGAGUCAAACUAUCUAUGGGCUUACAAAUCACGACCCAU
RNAcentral lists this long non-coding RNA (785 nucleotides) under Prunus persica (peach). Its description in RNAcentral is "long non-coding RNA (PPER_LNC003123)". The record is from RNAcentral. Lineage: Eukaryota; Viridiplantae; Streptophyta; Magnoliopsida; Rosales; Rosaceae.